UACGUAGGGUGCGAGCGUUGUCCGGAAUUAUUGGGCGUAAAGGGCUCGUAGGCGGUUUGUCGCGUCGGGAGUGAAAUCCACUGGCUUAACUGGUGGCUUGCUUCCGAUACGGGCAGACUGGAGGUAUGCAGGGGAGAACGGAAUUCCUGGUGUAGCGGUGAAAUGCGCAGAUAUCAGGAGGAACACCGGUGGCGAAGGCGGUUCUCUGGGCAUGUCCUGACGCUGAGGAGCGAAAGUGUGGGGAGCGAACAGG
Molecule: ribosomal RNA, 253 nt
Filed under: uncultured bacterium
Lineage: Bacteria
Description: partial 16S ribosomal RNA
Rfam family: Bacterial small subunit ribosomal RNA
Source: RNAcentral